GGCGGGGUGUCCGAGCGGUCUAUGGUAGCAGCCUCGAAAACUGCCGGGUGUUAAAAGCGCCCCCUGGGUUCGAAUCCCAGCCCCGCCGCCA
This 91-nucleotide transfer RNA is filed under the name Burkholderia cenocepacia. RNAcentral describes it as "tRNA-Ser". It matches the Rfam family "tRNA". From Rfam's summary of the family: Transfer RNA (tRNA) molecules are approximately 80 nucleotides in length. Their secondary structure includes four short double-helical elements and three loops (D, anti-codon, and T loops). The record is from RNAcentral. Lineage: Bacteria; Pseudomonadati; Pseudomonadota; Betaproteobacteria; Burkholderiales; Burkholderiaceae.